GGAUUGAUAGCUUGUAUCGAUCUUGAUGAAAGAGCAAUUGAUGCUCUCAGGGAAUUUAAUAAAGAAGGAGCUCUGUCUGUACUACAGCAGUUCAAGGAAAGUGACUUAUCACAUGUUCAGAACAAAAGUGCAUUUUUAUGUGGAGUUAUGAAGACCUACAGGCAGAGAGAGAAACAGGGGAGCUAGGUGCAAGAGUCCACAAAGGGACCUGAUGAAGUGAAGAUCAAGGCCUUGCUUGAGAGAAAUGAUUAUACUCUGAAUGUAACCACAGGACAGAGGAAGUAUGGUGGGCCUCCACCAAACAGUGUGUACUCUGGUGUGCAACCUAGAAUUGGAACAGAGGUGUUUGUAGGUAAAAUACCAAGAGAUGUAUAUGAGGAUGAGUUGGUGCCCCUUUUUGAGAAGGCCAGUCCCAUUUGGGAUCUACGUCUUAUCAUAGAUCCACUGUCUGGUCAGAAUAGAGGGUAGGCAUUUACCACUUUCUGUGGAAAGGAAGCUGCACAGGAAGCUGUGAAACUGUGACAGCUAUGAAAUUCGCCCUGGUAAACAACAUGGAGUGCGCAUUUCUGUGGCAAACAACAGACUUUUGUUGGAUCCAUUCUGAAGAAUAAGACUAAAGAAAACACUCUGGAAGAAUUCAGUAAAGUCACAGAGGGUUUGGUGGACGUCAUUCUCUAUGAUCAACCUGAUGACAAAAAGAAGAAAUGGGGGUUCUGCUUCCUUAAAUGUGAGGAUCACAAGUCAGCAGUACAAGCCAGAUGCUGGAAAAGUAAAAGUAUGGGGAAAUGUAGUUACAGUUGAAUGGGCUGACCCUGUGAAGAACCAUAUCCAGAAGUCAUGGCUAAGGUAAAAGUAUUCUUUGUGAGAAACUUGGGCACAGACGAAAUAUUGGAAAAGUCAUUUUCUGAAUUUGGAGAACUCCAAAGAGUAAAUAAGUUGAAAGAUUAUGCAUUUGUUCAUUCUGAAGACAGACGAGCAGCUGUUAUGGCUAUGGAUGAAAUGAAUGGCAAAGAAACAGAAGGGGAAGAACUUGAAAUAGUCUUAGCCAAGGCACCAGACAAGAAAAGGAAAGAGCGCCAAGCUGCUAGACAGGCCUCCAGAAGCACUGCAUAUGAAGAUUAUCACUACACCCUCCUCCUCGCAUGCCGCUUCCGAUUAGAGGUUGGGGGAGAGGUGGAUAUGGCUAACCUCCAGAUUACUAUGGCAUGAAGAUUACUACAGUUAUGAUUACCACAUCUAUCAAGGAGGUUACGAAGAUUCCCUACUAUGGCUAUGAUGGUGGCUAUGCAGUAAGAGGAAGAGGAGGAAGGGGAGGGCAGGGUGCUUCACCACCACCAAGGGGGAGGGGAGCACCACCUCCAAGAGGUAGAGCUGGCUAUUCACAAAAGGGGGCACCUUUGGGACCACCACGAGGCUGUAGGGGUGGCAGAGGGGGUCCUGCACAACAGCAGAGAGGCCGUGGCCGUGGUUCCCGUGGAUCUCAGGGCAAUCAGGGGACAAUGUAGGACGCAAGAGAAGGCAGAUGCUUACAACCAACCUGAUUCCAAGCAUCGUCAGACCAACAAACAACAGAACUGGGUCUCUCAACCCAUCGCUCAGCAGCCGCUUCAGCAAGGUGGUGACUAUUCUGGUAACUAUGGUUACAAUAAUGACAACCAGGAAUUUUAUCAGGAUACUUAUGGGCAACAGUGGAAG
RNAcentral lists this long non-coding RNA (1695 nucleotides) under Homo sapiens (human). RNAcentral's name for it is "non-protein coding lnc-SKIDA1-1:1". Lineage: Eukaryota; Metazoa; Chordata; Mammalia; Primates; Hominidae. The record is from RNAcentral.